AGCUGAUAAUACGGUCAAUUAGCAGCUAAGCGCUGAGUGCAUUUGUCAUUUUACACUCUUCGCUUGUUUUCUUGGUGGCGUUGAGAACGUGGACGUCUCUCCCUCCCUGUCCUCUCCCGAUUCCCGCCGCCUGUCUGUUCGGAGUACGGUAACAGCUCUUAUAAAUGUUUCAAUUGCCUGGAACCAGUAGGCCAAUCGUUGUUUCUACGGGCAUUGACUUCAGUGAUUGUGCUCCAGUGGCUAACUCUCAGAUAUUGCUAAUGCGUCGCUGCAAAUUGGGUUCUGAAGGCUCGGAUUCUGCCGUUUUCGGCUCUGAGUGCGCGGACGCUAAUGGAGGGGCCAGGAAGCAGUGCGAAGACAGCUGAAGGCAUUGCUUUGUACCCGACUCUGCAUAUUUACGCUGUCUGCUUAAUCCACAGCCUCCAAGCCCGAGUCAUUCAAUAGCAUGCUGUUAACUCGUUUUGUCAAUUUACAAAGGUUAGGAUGUUUGUUUUCCAUACGCCGGCUGAAUUGAUUUCAAUUAAAGCUUGAUUGGAGUUUAAUUAAGGAAAAUACCGUGUUUUGUUUUUAUGGGUUUCUGAUUUAUAGCUUGUGAUGAAUCUCUACUCUGUUCAGCAGAGGGUAUUUUCUUUGUUUCUUCUUGGGUAUA
Molecule: long non-coding RNA, 649 nt
Organism: Anguilla anguilla (European eel)
Lineage: Eukaryota; Metazoa; Chordata; Actinopteri; Anguilliformes; Anguillidae
Exons: 3
Source: RefSeq, a predicted model, not a curated record